RNAcentral lists this ribosomal RNA (665 nucleotides) under Escherichia coli. Its description in RNAcentral is "partial 23S ribosomal RNA". It matches the Rfam family "Bacterial large subunit ribosomal RNA", at positions 1273 to 1923 of the family's 2925-position model. Lineage: Bacteria; Pseudomonadati; Pseudomonadota; Gammaproteobacteria; Enterobacterales; Enterobacteriaceae. The record is from RNAcentral.
CUGGAGGUAUCAGAAGUGCGAAUGCUGACAUAAGUAACGAUAAAGCGGGUGAAAAGCCCGCUCGCCGGAAGACCAAGGGUUCCUGUCCAACGUUAAUCGGGGCAGGGUGAGUCGACCCCUAAGGCGAGGCCGAAAGGCGUAGUCGAUGGGAAACAGGUUAAUAUUCCUGUACUUGGUGUUACUGCGAAGGGGGGACGGAGAAGGCUAUGUUGGCCGGGCGACGGUUGUCCCGGUUUAAGCGUGUAGGCUGGUUUUCCAGGCAAAUCCGGAAAAUCAAGGCUGAGGCGUGAUGACGAGGCACUACGGUGCUGAAGCAACAAAUGCCCUGCUUCCAGGAAAAGCCUCUAAGCAUCAGGUAACAUCAAAUCGUACCCCAAACCGACACAGGUGGUCAGGUAGAGAAUACCAAGGCGCUUGAGAGAACUCGGGUGAAGGAACUAGGCAAAAUGGUGCCGUAACUUCGGGAGAAGGCACGCUGAUAUGUAGGUGAAGCGACUUGCUCGUGGAGCUGAAAUCAGUCGAAGAUACCAGCUGGCUGCAACUGUUUAUUAAAAACACAGCACUGUGCAAACACGAAAGUGGACGUAUACGGUGUGACGCCUGCCCGGUGCCGGAAGGUUAAUUGAUGGGGUCAGCGCAAGCGAAGCUCUUGAUCGAAGCCCCGG